UACGGACUUAAAAUCCGUUGGCUUUAUUGACCGUGAGGGUUCAAGUCCCUCUACCCCCA
This 59-nucleotide transfer RNA is filed under the name Dicranum scoparium. RNAcentral describes it as "partial tRNA-Leu". It matches the Rfam family "tRNA", at positions 25 to 71 of the family's 71-position model. Rfam says of the family: Transfer RNA (tRNA) molecules are approximately 80 nucleotides in length. RNAcentral also lists the same sequence under 3 other names. The record is from RNAcentral. Lineage: Eukaryota; Viridiplantae; Streptophyta; Bryopsida; Dicranales; Dicranaceae.